Molecule: ribosomal RNA, 511 nt
Filed under: Oncopygius distans
Lineage: Eukaryota; Metazoa; Arthropoda; Insecta; Diptera; Dolichopodidae
Description: partial 16S ribosomal RNA
Rfam family: Bacterial large subunit ribosomal RNA
Source: RNAcentral
GUCUUUUUGAGUUUUAAUAUAAAGUCUGGUCUGCCCACUGAUUUAAUUUAAUGGCCGCAGUAUCCUAACUGUGCAAAGGUAGCAUAAUAAUUAGUCUUUUAAUUGGGGGCUUGAAUGAAUGAUCGGACAAGGCAUAAUCUGUCUCAGUAAAAAGAAUUGAAUUUUAUUUUUUAGUCAAAAAGCUAAAGUUUUUUUAAAAGACGAGAAGACCCUAUAGAUCUUUAUAUUCUAUUUUAUGGCUUUUUUUUGGUUUAUUUUUGGGGGUUUUAUUAUGGUUUAUUUUGUUGGGGUGAUAUUAAAAUUUAAUUAACUUUUAUUUUUAUUUGACCAUAUAUUUAUGUUUUUUUGAUCCUUUAUUAUUGAUUAAAAAUUUAAGUUACCUUAGGGAUAACAGCGUAAUUAUUUUGGAGAGUUCGUAUCGAUAAAAUAGAUUGCGACCUCGAUGUUGGAUUAAGAUUAAUUUUGGGCGCAGCUGUCUAGAGUAUUAAGUCUGUUCGACUUUUAAUUUCUU